CCCGCAGCACUUGUUGUGUCUUCUUGUGGUCAUUUUGGAGCCAGAUAAGCUUUGACGAACGACACUGGAUUUAUUUUUAAUACAUUAGUGAUUUGCAGGAUUUAACAGUACUUUCUCUCAUAUAGCCUAUAUACCAAAACAUUACUUUUCUGAAAUACAUUUGAGUGUUGUCGCCUGCGCAUAGCCGUCGGACUGGCUUAUUCUGCAUUGUUUUUGGGGGCGACUGUUAUCCAGCAUAAUAGCGAGACAGAGGAAGAGAGAAGGAAACUUAUUCCACGAGCCUCUUUAGCCCGGACGGAGAUAAAUCGAGGAUAACAUUCGUAAUUACAACAAUUUUCGCAACCAGAUAAAGGUGGAGAGUCACGGAUACGUCUGGUAUCCAACAACAAGUCAACCUUCAGCCUAUCAUUAUUUUUAUUUUGGUGAUCUUAUACCGAGAAAAUUACCGUCCGUGUUCAUGCCAGAUCUGCAGCGCUUUAGUUUUCCAUACCAUAGCAUGAAUCCUUUGUUAGAGGCGAACUCGCUUCUCCAACAUCAACAGCAGCAGAACCAAGGAGGACAGAGUCAUCCGGAUUCCCCCUCAGGCCUUCUGCCCGAAUCCGUCUUCGGCUCGCUCGACCCGACGUCUUUCUUCCUGGGCGACCAUCCCGGACUGGGCUCGGAGUCUCUGCCAGGGUUCGAUUUCACCACACCCUCACAAGCUUACCUGCAUCUAAACCACUCUUAUCACCGGUCUGUGCCCCAACCUCCUGCAGCGAUGGCCCUGAGGAACGACCUGGGCUCCAAUAUCAGUGUCCUAAAGACUCUGAACUUACGGUUCCGAUGCUUUCUGGCCAAAGUGCAUGAACUUGAGCGAAGGAAUAAGAUUUUGGAGAAACAACUACAACAGGCGUUGGAUGCGAAGAACAGCUGUGAUGGGGGUUGUUCUGAAAGCGCUAGACGGGCCCAUACCCAAGAAACAGGUGUACAGACCGGGUUUGUGGGAACUAUCCCGCUCAGGCCCGGGUCACUCCCGUUCCAAAACACCAACAACUCCGCGAGACGACCCACUACCCUCUUCACGCUUGAGUCCAACAACAAAGCUGGAACAAACCCCACCGAACCGAAUCCGAAUCCGACCAUCACGGUAAGCCAAUCAACCCCGACAAUCGACUCUCCAGCCGGGUCCAAUUCAAUCACCAACGGGAAAACGGUUUUUAGUACAGGCACUGGAACCCCCACCAACCCGCCUCCCCGGUUCCUCCCCGGUACUAUCUGGUCCUACAACCAUACCCGCAAGCUCGGUUCUGGCGUGGAGACGCGCGUCACCAGCCCCGGUGUGUCCUGGGUCCAGCCGGACGGGGUCGGGGUCCAGAUUGAUACCAUUACCCCGGAGAUCAGAGCCCUGUACAACGUCCUGGCCAAAGUCAAGAGGGAGAGAGACGAGUACAAACGCAGGUGGGAGGAGGAGUACACUGUCAGAGUGGACAUGCAGCAGAAGAUGGAAGACCUACAGGAGGACCUCCAGGAGAGCGAGGGCUGUCAGGAUGAGUUGGCUGUCAGAGUGCAGCAGCUGAAGUCUGAACUGGUGCUCUUCAAAGGCCUCAUGAGCAACAACAUGUCUGAUCUGGACAGUAAGAUCCAGGAGAAGGCCAUGAAGGUGGACAUGGACAUCUGUAGACGCAUCGACAUCACGGCUCGCCUGUGUGACUUGGCCCAGCAAAGGAACUGUGAGGAUGUCAUCCAGAUGUAUCAGGUCCCUAACACCCAGUCUGCCAUCAACUGUCGCCCCCGGAAACAGACCCCGCUGUCCGUCAACAGUAGUGAGGGUGAUGAGACUAUCAGCACCUCGGAGAGCGAUGGAGGCCUGCCCAGAGAGGAGGAGCUCUGUGGCUCGUCAGCCAAUCAGAUCAAUGAGGAAAUGCAGAGGAUGCUCAACCAGCUGCGGGAGUGUGAGUUUGAAGAUGACUGUGACAGCUUGGCCUGGGAGGAGACAGAGGAGACUCUGCUGCUGUGGGAGGACUUCCCAGGAUGCACUCUGGCUCCAGAGACCACCCACCAGCCAGGAGAGCAAGAAGACCAGUGUCUGGAGAAGGUGAUUAAUGACACUGAGGACUUAUUCAAAUCCAGGGAGAAAGAAUACCAAGAGACCAUCGACCAGAUUGAGUAUGACUUGGCUACAGCUAAGAGUGAUGUGUUUCUCCCCAGUAUGACUCGGCUACAGCUAAGAGUGAUGUGUUUCUCCCCAGUAUGACUCGGCUACAGCUAAGAGUGAUGUGUUUCUCCCCAGUAUGACUUGGCUACAGCUAAGAGUGAUAUGAACCGUCACCUACAUGAAUACAUGGAGAUGUGUUCUAUGAAGAGAGGCCUGGAUGUGCAGAUGGAGACCUGCAGGAGACUCAUCACCCAGAGUGGGGACAGUAAGCCUGGCUCUCCUGUGGCUGUGGCUGGUGAGGAGAGCGUUGACCAGGCUGAGAAGGAAGGGACAACAGCGUCGCCUCCUCUCUCCAACUCUCCUCCCAGAUCAUGACCCAUCAAGACCACCUCUAUCACAUGACCGUCAUUCCAUCCAACCACAGCACCACUCCGCCGUCACUAUAGCAACGCCACGUUUCCAUUCUAACCACUAGAUUAGUCUAUUUUUAAUUUUCUUCAAGCUAUCUUCAUUCACAAGCCUCAAUAUAGGAACGUGGCAGAUCAAUCUGUUUUAGCGAGGGUGUAGUGUUGUGUUUCCAACAGAUUUUAGUCCCCUCUACUGGAAAGUGGUAUUACUAGCACCAUGGAAGUCUGUACAUAAGAACCCACUGUUUAACAGAGCAAAGGUAACGAGGUAAUGGAUUGAAAUACACAACUUGAAUUGAGAAUACCUCAUAGAAACAUAUGAGCAAUAUUUGAAUGAACUCAUAUGAGUUGUAGGCUAGCGUGUACUCUUAAGGUAGUUGUUGGUACUACAGAGAACCAUGGUAUUAACUCCUAUAGCAUGAUCCAUUUCCACACAGCCAUAAUGAUAAACACACCACACACACACACACCAAUAGAUUCAUGUCAGGCUAGCAUAGCAGAUCAUUCUAACAGUGUGCUGCUGUCCUGUUGCAACAUUAUGAGGGUUGUUUUCAAACUCACCUAGAAGUAUAACACAGUAAAUAUAAGCCUUAGGGUGUGUUCGUAAAUUCACUGGAGUGCCAGGGUGCGCUCUGGGCGUUCGUAAAUUCAAAGCAUUGUCAGAUUGUCCGUUCGUAAAUUCGGAGUGUUUCGCUCCGGCCGAGGAGUAGGGUUGAUCCGAGCCUUCUGACCUCACAACGGCAGUCAAGCACUCAAUCUAACAGACUAACGUUGGCUAGCUUGCUAGCUUCUUCCAGACAUAAAUGAGAGAACACCGCACUCUGACUAUUUUACUCAUUCUAGCAGAGCUGGUUAGGCUGUUUUUGUUAUCCAGAGUGUUGGUGACUGUAACUGUGAUGCUGGCAACAAUUUCAUUACGCUUUUUUGCCUACGUUUACUGACACCGGCCAUAUUCAAUGUGUGUUGAGCGUUAGUAAAUUCAUCAAAUGAGCGUGCUCUGAAAUCGGACUAGAUAGCCAGAGACAAUUUACAAAGCAAAGCCUAGUUGGCAAGAGAGAUAAACUCUAGAUGAAUCACUUUAUUAGCAACAAAACAGAAAUAUAACGUUACUGUACUGGACUAAAAUAAUAUCAAAUCACAAAUUUUAUCAAACAUCUACACUUCAUUCAUAUGUAUCAAUGAAAACUAGAAAAAAGUCAAAUAGUAAACUAAACUCUAAGAUGCAGUCACUCAGAUGGCGACAAUGAUAUCCCUGUGUGUGAUUCUGAACUCACAUUUUGAAACAAAAGCCUGCCAGUCUCUCUGCCCUUUUGUUGACACCAGACAGGUUGUCAUGGUAACAUUAUUUCACCGUCCUGUUUCACUUACCUGGUAUUUACUAAGGAAUUAUUGGAUAACAUUGUGUAACAUUGUAUUCUUUCUUCAACACAACUGGUAACUAACUACCUGGUACUAAAUGUUACAUAGUGGUGCUUGUUUCACUGAAUCCCAAAGAACCCCAAAAGUAGUUUUAUUGUAAUUAUAAUGUAAUACCAUUUUACUGUGUCGAGUAAAUGGCAACUAUGGUGAGAAAAGUUCGCUAGAGCACAUAAUGAUCUGGGACCAGGCUAGUCAUAGGCUCUGUGUCGGCUCUAUAUGUGGUAGUGCAGUGUGAAUAGUGUAAAUACUCUGUUAAAGCUGAUCUGAGGUCAGCUCUGGGGCCUUGUCCUGAUCUCUGUGUGUCUCUGUCAUUGACACAGGGAGAGGGAUACAUAUGACAAAGGGCAUUGACACCCAAGUGUUAUUAUACCUACGAGCUGUCUAAUGUAUACUAAUGUUUUGUUUAGUUUCCAGCAGCAGAGAGCAGAGGAAGGCCCUGCUACUCUGUCCUCCAGCAAGGAGAUAGGUAGGCUCGGAUAUGAGAAGUUAGAUAGGAGAGAUUUGUGUAUCUGUUCUGUACUCUCUAUUUCUAUGUGCUGUAGUCUGAUCUGGUUGGUAAGGACUCAAAUGCAUCAGUAGUAUUGUAUCAGAGAGAAAUGGAAGAUUGAUGAACAGGCUAUAAAAGACAGAAUGUCCACAGAUGAACAAAUAGACAGACAGACAGACAGAUGAAUGUACAGUACGGAUAGAUUGACAGAUUAAUGAAUCGAUGGAUAGAAUGAUGACCUGCUGAGAUCAUUUAUGUUUGCUACUUGAGUGUCAAAGCAACUGAAAACAAGCAAUCUGAAUGAACUUUGAGAAAUAUUGCUGAAACAUUGUAAUAGAAGUACUAAAUACUGAUGCUGAAAAGCUAUCUGACACGGUGCUUGAUAUGAUCUAACCUAUUUUUGAGCUUAAAAGUUAGCCGUUUAUAAAGAAAGAGCAAAGCAAAUAUGUAUAUUCAAUAAUACAGCAGUAACAGCAGUAAUAACAGUAUUUAAUGUCACAGAAGAAUAAGAAUGAUAUGUACAGAAGUAGGAUCUUAAUUUGAUCACUUUUGUUGCUUAGAUUAUUCCUGUUCUAAAAAGGCUUCUAAAGUUUGUAAUUUCCACUUUGAAAUUUCGGACUUGAUUUUCCCUAAUGAAAAAUGCAUCAACCCCUACAAAAUUGGCCAUUAAUUAUAAUCCACGUAAUAAAUCACAUUUCCUGUUGCUGCAGAAUUUUUUCCUGCUGUAGCAAAAUGGCUCAAAUUAAGUUUCUACAUCUGUAAUAAUUCGAACUCGUACACGUCACGAAUGUAAACAAUUAUUGAAGGAAAACUUAUUUUAUUUUCUCCACUUGUCACUUCAUGUUUGUAGAUGUGACAAAAUAGUGAAAUUGUUAGAGCUGAGGAGUAGAUUUCCUCUCUGUUAAUUCAACAUACACUAUGUUAUUAUACAGUAGAAUGUAGAUGUACAAUACAUUUUUGUUCCUCUUCCUUGACAUUGAAAUAUGCAUUACUUUGAGCAUAAAACACUCGCUUACCUCAGAUUAACAAUAUUUAAUAACUCUUUACUUUGAGUAUUAAACACUCUCUUACCUCAGAUAAACAAUAUUUAAUAACUCAAUAAUAGAACACAAGGAUUCCUUCACAAAUACUAUCUCUUUAUCAACAACCAAAUGGAGGCUUCAGUUUAGUUCAUUUCAUUUGUGUUUCUUUCUUUUUCUUGUUUGAUGAGGAAGAUGUUUAAUCAGGUGCCGUCUGCUGGUCACACCUCAAUAUUCUAGUAUUGUAGAAGGGUUUCCAAGGCUUUCUCUGAACGAUUAUAUAGGUUGUGAAGAACAGGUUUUGGAACCAUGAAAAAAUGAUAUGCAUGUCUUAAGCUAUGUAUUGGAUAUGCCAUUCCUUGGGUGUUUCUCCUGACCACAUGACCUAGGUUCUAGACCUGGCUAUUCAACUCUUAGACUACAAGAUCCGGAGCCUGCUGCUUUUCUGUUCUACCUGAUUUACUAAUUGCACCACCUGGUGUCCCAGGUCUAAAUCAGUCCCUGAUUAGACGGGAACAAUGAAAACAUGCAAUGGACCUGGCUUUGAGGUCCAGAGUUGAGUUUGAGGGUCCUGUGCUAUAAUGCUUGGGUUUUUUCUGCUCGGGUCAUAUGGCCAGUAAAACUCCUGGCCCUAGCGUUCCUGCCCUUUGGCCAGAACUGGAGAAUAAAAUGGAGAAUAGAAGGCAGCAGAGAAAUAGUGAGAAUAUGUUUUUCUUUGUAUAUUUUACUACACGCACAGAGAGACACAGUCUCUGCAGUAUGUAUGCAUGAGUCAGCGUGUAUGUUUAGGAGAGUGUUCUAAUGUCCUUGGUUUUUAAAAAGAGUUUUACUGGUUCACUUACCACAUGAAGAAUGCAAUAGUCCUAAAAUGCACACUGUAUUCCAGUGUCUGUCUGACAAUAGACAAAUUCAUAUCCUCUUCACAACUGAACUGAAGGCUAACGGUAUAACUGAAUCAUUGUAAACUAGAGUGGUAGGGACCAUACAGUGAUGUGUUCUGCUGACUGGAUUCCCAUCUCUACAAAUCGCCUUGAAAUACUGUAUAUAUAUAUAAAUCAAAGAUGUACAAUAAUCGCUCUAAUAUUCCAACAAUAAUCCACUUUCUUCAUGAGUGUAUGUGAUUACAAAGUAAAUUCUUUUUAAAAAUGGCACCAAAGUGUAAAAAAAAAAAAGAAGAUUACUACUCAAAUGCUUUAACAUAAUGAUGGUAUGAUUGCUAUGAUAUUGUAUGCAUUAAAGGAAAACGCUAUGUUGGAUAUAUUGUAUGUUUAAACACUGGCAAUGCAAGGAGGUCCACAGUCAGAAAUACUUAAGUGUCAGGUUCCCAGAUUUGGCACAUAGCUGAACUUUUAAUGUGGAUGGAGAUAUUUGAUUGGUCCUUAAUAUUUCUCAUAGACCAGGAGCCAAUGCUCUUGCUCUGUGAGGACCAGUGUAUUCUCUGGUCCAUAUAUUUUACCAUCAACUAAUUCCAUCUGGCCUGAGUAAGCUAGCAUGCAGGUGAAUAGACUGAGUUGUCAAUGAGAAGACUGUUAGGAAUCACCAAGGCCUCAUUUACUAAGCAUCUGCACCAGUGCCAUGUUUACACCUGCUCGGUUCAAAAGGGAACGAGUCAUUGAACAAAAGGUCAAGGGACAAGAAAAGUCUGUUUUCUGUUUCUAUCUUUGUAUCUCAUCUUAUAAUUCCCUCCGAAAAGAGCAAGUGUAAACAUUGCACUGCUUGGUAAAUCAGGCCUUGGUUUUUGUUUUGGUGAGGUGUGAGUUCUGUGAAACUGGACUGUCCCCUUGAACAUGUGUGCUUCAUCACAGAGCUCUGUGUACUGACAGAGAGUUCAUCACAGAGCUCUGUGUACUGACAGAGAGUUCAACGCAGAGCUCUGUGUACUGACAGAGAGUUCAUCACAGAGCUCUGUGUACUGACAGAGAGUUCAACGCAGAGCUCUGUGUACUGACAGAGUUCAACGCAGAGCUCUGUGUACUGACAGAGAGUUCCACGCAGAGCUCUGUGUACUGACAGAGAGUUCCACGCAGAGCUCUGUGUACUGACAGAGAGUUCAACGCAGAGCUCUGUGUACUGACAGAGAGUUCCACGCAGAGCUCUGUGUACUGACAGAGAGUUCCACGCAGAGCUCUGUGUACUGACAGAGAGUUCAACGCAGAGCUCUGUGUACUGACAGAGAGUUCAACGCAGAGCUCUGUGUACUGACAGAGAGUUCCACGCAGAGCUCUGUGUACUGACAGAGAGAUGGAAUGAAGAAUAAAAGAUACAGCUGAGCAA
Molecule: non-coding RNA, 7740 nt
Organism: Oncorhynchus mykiss (rainbow trout)
Lineage: Eukaryota; Metazoa; Chordata; Actinopteri; Salmoniformes; Salmonidae
Source: RefSeq, a predicted model, not a curated record